Long non-coding RNA from Juglans regia (Persian walnut), 930 nucleotides. RefSeq lists it as uncharacterized. The transcript is spliced from 5 exons. Lineage: Eukaryota; Viridiplantae; Streptophyta; Magnoliopsida; Fagales; Juglandaceae. The record is from RefSeq and is a predicted model, not a curated record.
UCCGCCGCGCACGACCCCACCAUGCCACUACCAUUCACCUCGACGGCCACCCCCUCGUUCUCCCCCAGCCCCCCGUCGAUCUCUUCCUUUUCCACCCGAAUCUGGCCUCACCUCUCUCUCUCUGUCGGAUUUCUCUACAUCGCCGCCGCUAGGGGCGCCGUUCGCCAGUCCUCCGUCGAAGCCCCCUUCUCCUCCACGCAAGGUCAAGCGAUACAAACACGCUCUGGAGGCUGCUGGUGUCGACCUAGUAAAAAUUCUGGUAUGUAUGAUUAUGGCCAUGGCUACGUCCUACUCAUGUAGCUAUCACGAGGAUCUCUUCGGUGGCUAAUAUUCUAUUGAGCAGCUCAAGAAUGCGAUCAGCCCCAGGACUAAGGAACUAUUUUGGCUAUACAAAGGAUAUAAAGUCAGUCGUCAGAUCAGACUUGAUUUAUAUUUCCGUGACAGAGGUUGUUGAGAUCACAAAGGGAAGUAAGGUGAAAUAUGAGCUUGACAAGAAGAUAGGACUAAUUAAAGGUAUUGACCAUUUCGUCCUCUUAAAUGGAAGAUUUUAGUGCUAGUCUGAAAAGUAUAUUCUUUCGGCGUUGCGUUGAAGCAUACUUAACUAGAAAAGAUUGGUUCAAAAUGCUUCCAGUCCAAAUGCUUUUUUGGGUGUUUCUGCUAAAUGAGGACUGUAAGAUCUUUGGAAUGGUUUUUGAGUUAUACUUAUAUUCUGGGAGAAUCUUAGUUCUUGCAUUUUGCUACCUUGUACUUUGAUUAGAUAUCUUCCAUCAGAUUGAUCUUACCAUCUGCAUCAAUGGCUCAAGUUGAUCGUAUUUUGUAUUCAUUAGUAGUAUAUCCUCAUAACUAUGGUCUCAUUCCUCACACAUUGUGUGAAGACAAUGACCCAUUGGAUGUUUUAGUUCUAAUGCAGGUAGUUUUUUAGUGUUCCUA